This 583-nucleotide ribosomal RNA is filed under the name uncultured fungus. Its description in RNAcentral is "eukaryotic LSU rRNA". The stretch from base 205 to 358 matches the Rfam family "5.8S ribosomal RNA". Lineage: Eukaryota; Fungi. The record is from RNAcentral.
UCCGUAGGUGAACCUGCGGAAGGAUCAUUACCGAGUGAGGGCCCUCUGGGUCCAACCUCCCACCCGUGUUUAUCGUACCUUGUUGCUUCGGCGGGCCCGCCGCAAGGCCGCCGGGGGGCAUCUGCCCUCUGGCCCGCGCCCGCCGAAGACACCAUUGAACGCUGUCUGAAGAUUGCAGUCUGAGCAAUUAGUUAAAUAACUUAAAACUUUCAACAACGGAUCUCUUGGUUCCGGCAUCGAUGAAGAACGCAGCGAAAUGCGAUACGUAAUGUGAAUUGCAGAAUUCAGUGAAUCAUCGAGUCUUUGAACGCACAUUGCGCCCCCUGGUAUUCCGGGGGGCAUGCCUGUCCGAGCGUCAUUGCUGCCCUCAAGCACGGCUUGUGUGUUGGGCUCCGUCCUCCUUCCGGGGGGACGGGCCCGAAAGGCAGCGGCGGCACCGCGUCCGGUCCUCGAGCGUAUGGGGCUUCGUCACCCGCUCUGCAGGCCCGGCCGGCGCUUGCCGACACAUCAAUCUUUUUUCCAGGUUGACCUCGGAUCAGGUAGGGAUACCCGCUGAACUUAAGCAUAUCAAUAAGCGGAGGAA